GAUCCUGGCUCAGGAUGAACGCUGGCGGCGUGCUUAACACAUGCAAGUCGAACGGGAAACUUUUCAUUGAAGCUUCGGCAGAUUUGGUCUGUUUCUAGUGGCGGACGGGUGAGUAACGCGUGGGUAACCUACCUUAUACAGGGGGAUAACAACCAGAAAUGGUUGCUAAUACCGCAUAAGCGCACAGGACCGCAUGGUCUGGUGUGAAAAACUCCGGUGGUAUAAGAUGGACCCGCGUUGGAUUAGCUAGUUGG
RNAcentral lists this ribosomal RNA (254 nucleotides) under uncultured bacterium. Its description in RNAcentral is "partial 16S ribosomal RNA". It matches the Rfam family "Bacterial small subunit ribosomal RNA", at positions 15 to 252 of the family's 1533-position model. The record is from RNAcentral.